GAAUGCUGACAUAAGUAACGAUAAAGCGGGUGAAAAGCCCGCUCGCCGGAAGACCAAGGGUUCCUGUCCAACGUUAAUCGGGGCAGGGUGAGUCGACCCCUAAGGCGAGGCCGAAAGGCGUAGUCGAUGGGAAACGGGUUAAUAUUCCCGUACUUGGUGUUACUGCGAAGGGGGGACGGAGAAGGCUAUGUUGGCCGGGCGACGGUUGUCCCGGUUUAAGCGUGUAGGUGUGUGUUCCAGGUAAAUCCGGUUCACUUUAACACUGAGGCGUGACGACGAGGCACUACGGUGCUGAAGCAACAAAUGCCCUGCUUCCAGGAAAAGCCUCUAAGCAUCAGGUAACAUCAAAUCGUACCCCAAACCGACACAGGUGGUCAGGUAGAGAAUACCAAGGCGCUUGAGAGAACUCGGGUGAAGGAACUAGGCAAAAUGGUGCCGUAACUUCGGGAGAAGGCACGCUGACACGUAGGUGAAGUGAUUUACUCAUGGAGCUGAAGUCAGUCGAAGAUACCAGCUGGCUGCAACUGUUUAUUAAAAACACAGCACUGUGCAAACACGAAAGUGGACGUAUACGGUGUGACGCCUGCCCGGUGCCGGAAGGUUAAUUGAUGGGGUCAGCGCAAGCGAAGCUCCUGAUCGAAGCCCCGGUAAACGGCGGCCGUAACUAUAACGGUCCUAAGGUAGCGAAAUUCCUUGUCGGGUAAGUUCCGACCUGCACGAAUGGCGUAAUGAUGGCCAGGCUGUCUCCACCCGAGACUCAGUGAAAUUGAACUCGCUGUGAAGAUGCAGUGUACCCGCGGCAAGACGGAAAGACCCCGUGAACCUUUACUAUAGCUUGACACUGAACAUUGAGCCUUGAUGUGUAGGAUAGGUGGGAGGCUUUGAAGUGUGGACGCCAGUCUGCAUGGAGCCGACCUUGAAAUACCACCCUUUAAUGUUUGAUGUUCUAACGUGGACCCGUUACCCGGGUUGCGGACAGUGUCUGGUGGGUAGUUUGACUGGGGCGGUCUCCUCCUAAAGAGUAACGGAGGAGCACGAAGGUUGGCUAAUCCUGGUCGGACAUCAGGAGGUUAGUGCAAUGGCAUAAGCCAGCUUGACUGCGAGCGUGACGGCGCGAGCAGGUGCGAAAGCAGGUCAUAGUGAUCCGGUGGUUCUGAAUGGAAGGGCCAUCGCUCAACGGAUAAAAGGUACUCCGGGGAUAACAGGCUGAUACCGCCCAAGAGUUCAUAUCGACGGCGGUGUUUGGCACCUCGAUGUCGGCUCAUCACAUCCUGGGGCUGAAGUAGGUCCCAAGGGUAUGGCUGUUCGCCAUUUAAAGUGGUACGCGAGCUGGGUUUAGAACGUCGUGAGACAGUUCGGUCCCUAUCUGCCGUGGGCGCUGGAGAACUGAGGGGGGCUGCUCCUAGUACGAGAGGACCGGAGUGGACGCAUCACUGGUGUUCGGGUUGUCAUGCCAAUGGCACUGCCCGGUAGCUAAAUGCGGAAGAGAUAAGUGCUGAAAGCAUCUAAGCACGAAACUUGCCCCGAGAUGAGU
RNAcentral lists this ribosomal RNA (1534 nucleotides) under Salmonella enterica. Its description in RNAcentral is "partial 23S ribosomal RNA". It matches the Rfam family "Bacterial large subunit ribosomal RNA", at positions 1292 to 2809 of the family's 2925-position model. Lineage: Bacteria; Pseudomonadati; Pseudomonadota; Gammaproteobacteria; Enterobacterales; Enterobacteriaceae. The record is from RNAcentral.